This 7287-nucleotide long non-coding RNA is filed under the name Cricetulus griseus (Chinese hamster). Its description in RNAcentral is "lncRNA (ENSCGRG00015031052.1)". Lineage: Eukaryota; Metazoa; Chordata; Mammalia; Rodentia; Cricetidae. The record is from RNAcentral.
CACCGAAUCAUUCAGACACCAUUUCACGGAGAUGGAAGCCCCAGGGAAUGGCAAAGCAGAGUUGGGUCAUAUACUUAUUGCGCCUGCUGCCACCAUCCUUCACUAGCAUCAGAGCCUGGCCAUGUUGACUUUCCAACAUGAACUGAAGACCCGUGGCUCUCCAGGAGUCAGACAGGCCCUUGGUGCCAGGUUUGGACUGCUGUGGCACCCAGCUUAGUGGAAUGAGAGCAUCUAUUGAUUCUUGUCCCCUCCAAUGAGAAGAUAGCCAUUGUUGCCUCAUGUCUUGCAUGAAAAUGUCCUUAUGCAGCACAGUGCCAUGUGUAAUGAAUAAAUACAAUGAAAAAAUUUUAAAAAAUGACGAAGAAUUUCAAGGUGGUAGCCACAGAACAUCAACCCCUAAAUAUGGGGUCCUACCUGACUGCAUUUUUACAUAUCUAUGAAGCCCUGCCUUAUCAUGGCACAGAGACAUGUGGCCUUCAGCUCUCCUUUCCAACUUCAUUUCCUUAUCGGCAGCUGGUGGGUUCUGGCUGCAUCAGAGCCAGUCUGAGUCCCUUUGGUGAGCAGAGCUGACUGAGGGCUCAGAGGUCUGGCAGGAUCUCCAGGUCACAGACACUCCCAUUCCCAUUUCUCCAUUUCCUUUGACGAAGAAUGACCAACAGCUCAAAGGACAUUUCAGUUGGUGGGUCAGUCUCGAAGGACCACUGUUUAGAGUACAUUGGGUACCUCAAAAGUGAUGGUGAUCUCCUCCUCACCUUUCUUUGCCUUCAGGAAAGUGGUUCUGCACUGCAGGGUGAGGCUCCAAGAAGUCACAGCCAUGGCAGAUGCUCCAUGACAUUUGAACAGUACCUCAGAUUGUCUAUGAGGAAAUACCCAGGUCUUCACAGUUUCUCAGGUCGCAAACCAUCACCACACACAGCUCAAGCCAUGCAGCUCAAGCCACACAGCUGUGAUGCCACCCUUCCUGAGACACUAUGAGUAUCCCCUUUGUUGGGUGAAGAAAAAAUGACCCAGAGAAGUGAGAGGGCCUUCUUGGUGAAACACAGUUAGACCUUCGCACAUGUGCAGUGGUGUGAUUGUGUGUGUGUGAUGCCCAUAGACACAAACAAACACAUCAAUGAAUAUAUGAAUAAAUAAGUCCAUUAGUUAAUGAGUGAAUUAAAAGCUGGAUAUGACAAGGUAAACAUACAAUCCCAAAGCUUAGGAAGCAGAAGUAGGAGCCAUCAUGUUUGAUGGCUCUAUAGUCAAGCUGAAUCUGCAAUUCGUGUCUCAAAAAAAAAAAACAAAAAACAAAAACCGAAAAACCAACAACAACAACAACAGGGAAGAUGGGAUGCACUGAACAUGAUCAAAGUACACUAUGUGCAUGCAUGACAUGGUCAAAGAAUAAAUAAAAAACAUUAAAAAAACAAAACCAAGUUGGAUGGCACACACGGUUGACUUUUUUGCCUCCACAGGCACUCACACACACAGCCACAGACACGCAGACAUGAAUCUUAAGUGUGUUCUCAGUACAGUGGCUUGACCAUCUCCAUUAUUCAUAAAAGCUGUCAAUACCCAGAAACCCUCACCUUCCUGUUGUGAUGCCUGAACAGAAUCAGAAAACUGGGGCCAGAUGCCCUGCUCAUCACUGCCAGUGCCCGUCCACAUCUAGCUGUCAGUCCCUUCUGUGUUCUAUCUGGGUCCCCAGUCUGUCCCAAUGACAGUACCACACCUCUUCAGGUGACCAUAAGCAUAGGAAUGUGGAACAACAGGGUCUUAGGCCCAGCGAAUUCAGUAGCCAACAGCAGAGACUAUCCCUACAGCUGUGAGAUGUGCUUCAGGCAUGGAGCUUCCAACCCAGUCUUUCCGGGCAGAAGGCUGUUCCCAUGUUUCCUGUGACAGAUGCGACCCUAUCUUUGAUCCCUCUUUCCAAAAAAAGUUUCAUGCUCCUUUCUUCAAGCCCUUUGUUCCCAGCAUAGCUCCGUGAGGAAUCUGAAGAAAGGCUGUGGGAAGCUAUGUGGAUAUAAUCCCUGGUUGGGGAAGCAGCUGCCCCUCCAGCUGGGUCCAGGUGGUGAGGAUACAAGAUGUGGCGGGUUGGGCUAGGCUCCACAAAGCCAGGCUCUGUGGGCCGCCAUCAUUAUCAUUGCAGACAGCCUUCGGAACAACGGAAACCUCCACGCCCUCAACUCCCCAGAAGAGGGAGAGCAGGAUGGGUGCACCACCUCCCUUCUCAGGAUGUUUUUAAUAAUGCAGACCAGCCCACACAGGGAAGCAAGACCUUGGGAAGCACACAGCCCUCCCCUGCAGGGCUAUGGUGCAGGGCUAUUCUUCCAGCCGGGUUCCCUAGUUUGUAUGAAUUACAGAGAUCCUCAUUGCUGCGUGUAUAACAGACUUCUGUGUGAUGGUCUGGGUGUGAUGUGUAGUUGAUACUGGGAGGAGUGUGUCUUUCUUGGCUGUAUCUCUGGUGUUGUUUUUGUUCUUGGAUGGACUCUUUGUUCUAUGACAGAGAGUACCUACAGACGCUCCAAGAUAACAGAUCUGGCAGGAGACACUUCCUGGUGCAAUCUAGAUUGCUUCUCAUAGCACUGUAGUCCACGAUCCGAUGGUACAUAUGAUGGCAACAAGGAGUCUCAACUCAGGUGACCCUGUUUUCUGGCACUAUUGUCUCCCUAUCACCCAAGCAAGGGGUUCUUGCUCCCUUCUGGUAUCCACUGCAUAUCUGUGCUCACGUGAGCACUGGGUGAGGGUGAGCUAGCAUGCAUGUCAUGUGUGAUAGGUCACCUAUGAGAUGCCGCACACACAUGAGGUGAUAAACCGGUUAGCAGAUAUAAAAUAGGAGAGCCAGGACUACACAGAGAAACUCUGUCCUGAAAAUCCAAACCAAACCAAACCAAAAAAGGCAGAGGUAGAUGGAGGACACCAGGGAAUCAAAGUCUUCUAAAUACAACAGGACUGGAGCACAUAUGAACUCAGAGAGUGUGGCAGCAUGCACCGGGCCUACAUGGGUCUGGACCAGAAGUGGUCCUAGAGCUGAAAGGAGAAGUGGACUCAAGUCCCCAUCCCUAACUCAGAAGCUAUCUCCAAUUGAUAGCCAUUUGCAAGUAAAUAAUUAGUUUUUUUCUCUAAGAAAAUCUCACUGGGAAAAUAAGCCACUCUUAAGGGUAGGCCCGAUGCCCAAAAGUAGAUAACCACCAGAAAACGAACUCCACAGCAUCAUUGGAGGUUCUUUGUCUCAUAUUAAGUCAGGGCAAUUCUUUUUCUACUGUACAGAUCCUUUGUAUAUAUAUCAUGGCUUCCAGUUUUGGAUUUUUAUAGGAUUCUUGAGUGUGAAUAUGUGUGUCCCUAUAUCUAUAUGUGUUUCUUUUAUUUCUUGGGCUUUUUCUUGUUUGGUUGUUUCAUCCUAUUCCAAUUUGUUUGUUUUUGAUGUAUCUUAGUUUAUUAUUAUUCCUUAGGUGCCUGUUUGCUUUCUAAUGAGAGACAGAAGGGGCAUGGAUCUAGAUGGGAGGUGAGGUGGGGAGGAACUGGAAGAGCAAGGGGAUGGGAAACUGUGGUGGUUUGAGAGAAAAUAGCCCCCAAAGGGAAUGGAACUAUUAGGAGGUGUAGUCUUGUGGGAGGCGGGCUUUGAGGUCUCAUAUAUGCUCAAGCUACACCCAUUGAGUCAGACCACUUCCUGUUGCCUGCAGAUCAAGAUGUAUUAACUCUCAUCUCCUUCUCCAGCACAUGUUUGCCUGCGUGUCCCGCCAUGAUGAUAAUGGGAUGAACCUCUGAAAUGGUCAGCCACACAAUUAAAUGUUUUCCUUUAUAAAAGUUGCUGUGGUCAUGGUGUUUCUUCACAGCAAUAGAUAGCCUAACUAGAUGAAACCAUAAUCAGAAUCUAUUGUAUGAAAAAAAUCUAUUGUCAAUAAUAAUAAUUUAAAAAGACACACUCAGGGCAUUAGUGAGACACACCUUUAUGUGUGUGUGUUUGUGUGUGUGUUUGUGUGUGUGUGUGUGUGUGUGUAUGCUUGCAAAGAUUAGCUGAAUGGAAAAGAUAUUCCUGAACCUGAGUGGCACUAUUCCAUGGGCUGAGGUGUCAGACUGACUAGAGAAGAGAAAAAAGAAAGUUAGCCAAGCAUCAAUGUUCUUCCUCUGAGGUGUAAGUGGUUAGCCUCUGACCUUUGUGCCUUCCUGCCGUGGGGAUGACAUUCUCAUCGUGAGACUCUCCUUACUUAAGUUUCCUAUCAGGUGUUCUGCCCCAGUGAUGAGAAAAGGAAAUAAUACAGAAGGACAGCAGCUUGAGAUCCUAUGGCCUUGGUGCAAGCAGACCGGAGUUCAAAUCCUACUACCAUCAUUUCUUAUUCAUAGCUAUGUCUACUUCUCUUUUUUUCUGUACUAUCAGAUGUGGAUGGACACUCAUGAGGACUGAUCAGAUGUGGAUGGACACUCAUGAGGACUGAUCAGAUGUGGAUGGACACUCAUGAGGACUGAUCAGAUGUGGAUGGACACUCAUGAGGACUGAUCAGAUGUGGAUGGACACUCAUGAGGACUGAUCAGAUGUGGAUGGACACUCAUGAGGAUGGAGUGAGAUUGGGAAGGAACUGGAGUUUUGUGGAUCAUGUCUCAGCUCCUCAGAAUGCAAGGCUGGCAAGGUGGCUCAGUGGGUAAAGGAUGAUCUCUGCCAAGACUGAAGACAGGAGUUCAAUACCUGGGUCUCACUUGAUGGAAACUGAAAUCCACCUCCAGCAAGUUGUCUUCUGCACCAACACACACAGAGAAACACUUACACAUGGUUCACCUGGCAUUUGGCUAAUGUCUGAAACCAAACCACACUCUGGACCAAUUAAGUCAUAGUGCCUAAGGGCCAGCAUGAUGCCAGCAUCUGCAUCCAUCAACUUCUCAGGUGAGCAUACUCGUAGUCUGGAUAAAGGGUGCUUUGGGGCUUGGCUCAGGUCUCUGUUUCCUGGCAGCCCUUCAUAAGGCAUCUUCUCCCUCCUUCAUGGGCCAGGCCUCUCCUGUGUUCCCAUGGUGCCCUCUGCACAGUGUACCUUCUAUCUGGUACUCUGUUAACAUGUUUUAUUUUCUUUUGUGUUUUUCACAGUGCUGGGAACACCCAAGAAACUCCUCCAGAAGUUAUCCUUUCUCUCAUUGCUUUUAUUUUUAUUUUAGCCCUAAAGUUCACCGAAGUUUGCCGAAGCAGAAUUUUGACAAAGGGAAAGUGUUGAGUGUCAGGUGGUGCAGUUGUGAAGCUGACACAAUGGGUCUGGGUGGGAAGUUGUGACUGGUUGAGCAAGGGUGGUGGUGCAAGAGCUCACAGGGAAGGGCCCGCUGAGGAUGAUCAUCAGAAGGUAAAAAUUGUUCUGCUGCUGUAACAUAACAGAUUUCUGUUGUCUCGGAGUUUUAGAGGCUCCAAGUUCAAGAUCAAGGUUUGUCAGUAGGGUGGUUUCCUCUGCGGAGCUCUGAGGAGGAACCUGGCUUGUUUGCUUCUAUUUGCUUCUGUAAGUUUGCUAGUGGUGCUUUGGUGUUUCCUGGUUUACAGCACAUAGCUUGUUUAUCUUAAUAUCUCCAUAUAUGUGUGUUUUAAUUCUCCCACCUGUGCUUUGUAUUUAGUAAGUCUAUGUAAAUGUGUGUGUGGCUGGGGUGGGGUGUGUGUGUGUGUGUGUAGGUAGGUACAUAUGUGUUUGAAGGCCAAAAAUCAAUGUUGGGUAUCUUUCUCCAUCUUGGCCAGACUUUUCUGAGACAAGGUUUCUCAUUGAACCUGUUACUUACCCAUUGGUCAGACUGGCUAGCCAGGGAGCCCCAGGCACCCUCCUGUGUCUGCCUUCUGAUGAUGAGAUGACAAGUACGUAUGUACUAUGCCAUGCCUGCCUGACUUACAUGGAUGCAGGGGACCUAUACUCAACCCCCCCCCCACACACACACACUUGCAUAAAAAAACACUUUACUCACUGAGCCAUCCACGACAGCCUCCAAUUCCCUCUUUUCAUAAUGACACACCAUGUGGGAUGGCCCCAUCUCUUAAGUGUGACUCUAGUCAUGGAUAACAGUCACAUCACAGUCAUUUGAAAUGGCUAUUUCUGGAGAGGGUUACAUUUGGAAGUACUGGAGCUUAGGGCUUCAGUAACUGGAAGGGACACAACUCCAUCCACAGUGUAAUGAAUUGUGUACUAUGCAAGCACCUUGCCUCGGGUACUUUGGUUUCAUCAUUUUAGGGGUAAGCCAGAAUUUUGCUAUGAGGGCAACACACUAGUUUUUAGGCUUUUGUCAAAAUCGUAACUCACGCAAAGGAACUCUGGGGAUGCUGACAAAACUGGAAAGGCGAGUGUCAUCAUCCAGUUGAAGGCCAGCAUGAGCUGAAGAAACACAAGAGAGGGAGAGGAAUGGGGUAGACACCAUUGUUCUCGUUUGUUCCUUCAGUGGUGGGUGCUUCUGCCUCUCUCAGCCGAUGCUUUUGCCGUCUCAGUGCUAAGUGAGCUUUCUUCGGGACCACUGAGAAGUGAGAAGCGGAGAGAUUAUAUGCAUAUGCCUAACAGAUCGAAGGUGCUCCUUCCUUCCUCUCCUUUCUUUCUGGCUUCCCUUAUUGUUCUUUUGUGAUUUUGUUCGUGGCAAUUAAAUGCAGUGCAGUUUUGGUAAUUAGCCGCUGUAAUUAGAAACACUUUUGGGUUAGGAGGGCAUUUCGUCUGCCUGGCUUUAGGAGCUGUCACUGGCUUUCUCUCAACAGUGCUUGCACUUGGUUGGUGUGUGUGUGUGUGUGUGUGUGUGUGUGUGUGUGUGUGUGUGUGUGUCUGUCUGUCUGUCUGUCUGUCUGUCUGAGGACUGGGCAGCUGUACACAAUUAAUGGCAGAGGAGGCUUUCCGCUAACAAUGACACCUUGCAUCCUGUACUCAGAGCUCUCUGUUGCAGCUGCAGGCAGAACUGAAAAGCAUGGCGAGCUACUCCUACAGUUAAUCAUUCCCAGAGCCCUCUCCAGCCCUUGGGUGCGUGCUGCCGUGCUAAAAUCCGGACAGUGUUACACAGAGAAGUCACUGGCUGAGAAUGCUAUCAUCUUCUCGAAGAUUGUCUUUUCUGCCGGCCUUUCCCUCCAGCAGGGGGCCAGGAGGACUUUUAGAAACUUCAAAACAACAACUUUUUACGUGGGACACCUGUAUUUGUUAGAACAAAGGUUGUAUUGGGGUAUAGUGGCACACAGUUUUAAUCCCAGCACUUGGGAGGCAGAGGCAGGCGGAUCUCUGUGAAUUCGAGGCCAGUCUGGUUCACAGAGUUGAGUUUCAGCACAGCUGAAGCUACAUAGUAAGAGCCUGUCUCAAAAACAACCCCGAAGAAGAAGAAGAA